GGACGAACGCUGGCGGCGUGCUUAACCCCUGCAAGUCGAACGGAAAGGCCCUGCUUUUGUGGGGUGCUCGAGUGGCGAACGGGUGAGUAACACGUGAGUAACCUGCCCUUGACUUUGGGAUAACUUCAGGAAACUGGGGCUAAUACCGGAUAGGAGCUCCUGCUGCAUGGUGGGGGUUGGAAAGUUUCGGCGGUUGGGGAUGGACUCGCGGCUUAUCAGCUUGUUGGUGGGGUAGUGGCUUACCAAGGCUUUGACGGGUAGCCGGCCUGAGAGGGUGACCGGCCACAUUGGGACUGAGAUACGGCCCAGACUCCUACGGGAGGCAGCAGUGGGGAAUAUUGCACAAUGGGCGGAAGCCUGAUGCAGCAACGCCGCGUGCGGGAUGACGGCCUUCGGGUUGUAAACCGCUUUCGCCUGUGACGAAGCGUGAGUGACGGUAAUGGGUAAAGAAGCACCGGCUAACUACGUG
RNAcentral lists this ribosomal RNA (469 nucleotides) under uncultured bacterium. Its description in RNAcentral is "partial 16S ribosomal RNA". It matches the Rfam family "Bacterial small subunit ribosomal RNA", at positions 27 to 507 of the family's 1533-position model. The record is from RNAcentral.